AUCGUUUCUCUGCCUUUUGGCUAAGAUCAAGUGUAGUAUUUGUUCUUAUCAGUUUAGUGAUGUAUUAUUUAUUAUGUGCAAUGAAAGAAUUUUUUGACUAAAGUAGGAUGCAUGAUUUCCUAUUUUGAACUUUAAGAGAAAAGUUAUCCUCACUGACAACCUUGUCCCCACUAUA
Molecule: small nuclear RNA, 175 nt
Organism: Oryctolagus cuniculus (rabbit)
Lineage: Eukaryota; Metazoa; Chordata; Mammalia; Lagomorpha; Leporidae
Gene: U2
Rfam family: U2 spliceosomal RNA
About the family: U2 is a small nuclear RNA (snRNA) component of the spliceosome (involved in pre-mRNA splicing). Complementary binding between U2 snRNA (in an area lying towards the 5' end but 3' to hairpin I) and the branchpoint sequence (BPS) of the intron results the bulging out of an unpaired adenosine, on the BPS, which initiates a nucleophilic attack at the intronic 5' splice site, thus starting the first of two transesterification reactions that mediate splicing.
Source: Ensembl